Long non-coding RNA from Lucilia cuprina (Australian sheep blowfly), 756 nucleotides. RefSeq lists it as uncharacterized. The record is from RefSeq and is a predicted model, not a curated record. The transcript is spliced from 3 exons. Lineage: Eukaryota; Metazoa; Arthropoda; Insecta; Diptera; Calliphoridae.
AUGUCAACUCACACUUGCCACAAAACAUUUCAUUGAAAAAUGACCAUGAAAUACAAUCCGCUGUCGAUAUAUUUACGGAUAUCUUACAAGAUGCUGUCAAAGUUUCUACACCCCCAGUCACCUUGGAGUACAACAAAAAUUCGAAAUGUACUGGGAACAUUCAGUCUCUAAUUAAAGAAAAGAGAACACUCAGACGUCAAUGGCAACAGUCGCGAUCUCCAAACAUAAAGGUUAAAACUUAAUCAGUGCCAAAAAAGACUUCACAUCUCCUUGGAUAUUUCCCUACCCCAAGGAAAGUAUCCGAAAUUGUUAUGAUACCAAAACCGGAAAAAUAUGUCACUCAAGUGACAUCAAAAGUAUUUUGCUGUUUUGAAGCCUAAUAUAUGUUUAUUAAAGUGAACACUAAAAAGUCGAUGUUGGAUUCUUGUUCGUCUGAACCCCACAAAACGAUUCGCCUUUCCAGAUAUUGACAUAGCCGAAAUCGACUGAACGACGUUAACACAUGCCGCUGGUCGCUCAAAAUUUGAAAAAAAUCCAAAUUUUUUGCCAAAAGGCUAUCAUAUGAAGUUAUUACUCCAGAACGGUCAAACAGAGUUGCAACAGCAUUUGUGCCUAAAUGUUGCUAUGAGGUAAAUAUUUUAACAUAUUAAUGUUAAAAGUCUUAAAGUAUAUAGAUUUAGUAUUUCAAAACGAUUUGAAAUAAAUUGCUUGAAAAAUUAAAAAGUUAUUAAAAUUUCCCCACAACAUUAACGUGUC